AGUGAACGCUGGCGGUAGGCCUAACACAUGCAAGUCGAACGGCAGCACAGUAAGAGCUUGCUCUUACGGGUGGCGAGUGGCGGACGGGUGAGGAAUACAUCGGAAUCUACUUUUUCGUGGGGGAUAACGUAGGGAAACUUACGCUAAUACCGCAUACGACCUACGGGUGAAAGCAGGGGUUCUUCUGACCUUGCGCGAUUGAAUGAGCCGAUGUCGGAGUAGCUAGUUGGCGGGGUAAAGGCCCACCAAGGCGACGAUCCGUAGCUGGUCUGAGAGGAUGAUCCGCCACACUGGAACUGAGACACGGCACAGACUCCUACGGGAGGCAGCAGUGGGGAAUAUUGGACAAUGGGCGCAAGCCUGAUCCAGCCAUACCGCGUGGGUGAAGAAGGCCUUCGGGUUGUAAAGCCCUUUUGUUGGGAAAGAAAAGCAGCAGGUUAAUACCCCGCUGUUCUGACGGUACCCAAAGAAUAAGCACCGGCUAACUUCGUG
RNAcentral lists this ribosomal RNA (492 nucleotides) under uncultured bacterium. Its description in RNAcentral is "partial 16S ribosomal RNA". It matches the Rfam family "Bacterial small subunit ribosomal RNA", at positions 29 to 507 of the family's 1533-position model. The record is from RNAcentral.